Molecule: long non-coding RNA, 323 nt
Filed under: Mytilus galloprovincialis (Mediterranean mussel)
Lineage: Eukaryota; Metazoa; Mollusca; Bivalvia; Mytilida; Mytilidae
Source: RNAcentral
UGGCCAUUGAUUGACACAUUAAAAUCAUUCAUUGACUGGGACAAUUUAGGUGAACGUUUGUAUGUAACGACCAAUGCUCACUAUGUACUUUUUAAAGACACUUAAACUAUGGGGUCACCAAAGGUUCUCAACACCUAAAUAAAGUAAUUCGAAAAAUUAAUCAGAAAUAACACGAUAUUUUGAUUUAUAUCAAUUAUAUAAAUCAAAACACAAAGGUUAUUCCUGAUUUAUUUUUCGAAUUAUUUUAUAAUUAAAGGCGUUAAGAAACCUUUGUUGACCCCACAGUUUAAAUGUCUAUCGUAGGUACGUCAUGAACAGUGGUU